CAAGACGUAGCUUUAAUAUAAAGUGUUCAGCUUACACCUGAAAGAUGUCUGCCACCUACCAGGCCGUCUUGA
RNAcentral lists this transfer RNA (72 nucleotides) under Ixobrychus eurhythmus (von Schrenck's bittern). Its description in RNAcentral is "tRNA-Val". The record is from RNAcentral. Lineage: Eukaryota; Metazoa; Chordata; Aves; Pelecaniformes; Ardeidae.